This 72-nucleotide transfer RNA is filed under the name Pedobacter soli. Its description in RNAcentral is "tRNA_Pseudo_CTT". It matches the Rfam family "tRNA". From Rfam's summary of the family: Transfer RNA (tRNA) molecules are approximately 80 nucleotides in length. Their secondary structure includes four short double-helical elements and three loops (D, anti-codon, and T loops). Further hydrogen bonds mediate the characteristic L-shaped molecular structure. tRNAs have two regions of fundamental functional importance: the anti-codon, which is responsible for specific mRNA codon recognition, and the 3' end, to which the tRNAs corresponding amino acid is attached (by aminoacyl-tRNA synthetases). tRNAs cope with the degeneracy of the genetic code in two manners: having more than one tRNA (with a specific anti-codon) for a particular amino acid; and 'wobble' base-pairing, i.e. permitting non-standard base-pairing at the 3rd anti-codon position. The record is from RNAcentral. Lineage: Bacteria; Pseudomonadati; Bacteroidota; Sphingobacteriia; Sphingobacteriales; Sphingobacteriaceae.
GCAAGUGUCGUAAAGAAGAGUUACUUCGCACUCUUAAUGCCCGUGUCGCAGGUUCGAGCCCUGCCCCAUGUA